Molecule: microRNA, 24 nt
Filed under: Brachypodium distachyon (stiff brome)
Lineage: Eukaryota; Viridiplantae; Streptophyta; Magnoliopsida; Poales; Poaceae
Description: bdi-miR7733-3p
Source: miRBase by way of RNAcentral
CCUGCGUUGGCGAAGGCGAGAAGC